GCACUGCUGAGGAGUCCCACAAUAGGACGAAACGACUGGCUGUCCAGUGC
This 50-nucleotide non-coding RNA is filed under the name Schistosoma mattheei. Lineage: Eukaryota; Metazoa; Platyhelminthes; Trematoda; Strigeidida; Schistosomatidae. The record is from RNAcentral.